This 1508-nucleotide long non-coding RNA is filed under the name Callithrix jacchus (white-tufted-ear marmoset). RNAcentral's name for it is "lncRNA (ENSCJAG00000079140.1)". The record is from RNAcentral. Lineage: Eukaryota; Metazoa; Chordata; Mammalia; Primates; Cebidae.
CUUUGAGGUAAGGAGUGGGUGUACUAUGAUUAUCAUCAUGUUACAGAGGAGGAUACAGACCCAGAAAUAUUCUGUAACUUGCCCAAGGACACACAGCUGGAAGUUGGCAGAGUUUGGACUAAAAUUCCAUAGCCAAAGCACUCUGCAACCUCCUUUCAGCCUGGAAGCGUCAUAGGAGUUUCCAAUAGAUGGGCCUCCUAAGACUCAAAGAACUGUUAGAACUGUGAGAAAUCCCAAACAGAACGAAAUUCCGACCUAAUGGAGCCGAAGAAUCAGCAGGAGCCCAAGUUCUAGUUUGCUGGGACAAGGAGGAAAUUCUGUAAAAACUCAAUGCCUUAUGCAAGGUCAAAUAAUUAAUGUCUUCCAGCAGUUUCCAUCCUCUGAGAAGGGCCCAACCUGCAUGCCACCGUGUCCCUUCAAGUGCAGGCAGUCUGGGAACGCAGGAUAAUGGAUCCUUGAGCGUGGCUAAUACUUGAUGGAAAAGAAUCUUUCUCUUCUGGGGCUACAAUGUAAUUUCAUACUAAAUUUACUGUGGUUUAUAUAAUUCUUUUCAUUCACAGCAGAAGGAGGUUCUUUGCUGCUUCCCUUUUCAGAAACUUGGAGACCAUAUAUCUUUGCAAAGUAGAUUUUUAAAAAUAAAACAAAGAAGAAAAGAUUAAACCAGAGAAGCUCCCAAGUUUUCUGCCUUCUGCCUGGACCAGCUUCCUGUGCUUCUUCCUUUCCAAAAUUGAUGUGGUAAAUGUUAUUGCAGUAGCCCUGGCUCACAAAAGCCCAGGCCUUCCAAGAAUGCAACCUUCAUGGAGAAAUUCUGCGACUCGUUCUCCUCUGUGGAGGCUGGAGAGUUAAGAUGUAGAAGGAGAGAGACAAAGAGACAAGGAGAAAUUUGCUUUAUUAGUGGCUUUCAAGAGAAUGAGGCCAGAAGACAGAGUCCUGGACCUUAUCCACGCUUGUCAUCCCAGAAGACGUUGCUACAAGGCAUGUCCUCGUCUCAGGUGGGCAGUGAGCCUUUCUGAAAAGCUCUGUAUAAGGGAGCAGCCAACCAUUGAUUUUCCACUCCAAGGAAUGGCCCCACAGGGGAGAUUUCCUCAUAGCCCUUCUCUCCUCUUAGGCAAGGUUAGCAGCUCUAGUCGGCAAAUCAUUCUCAAGUUCCACAAUCUCAAGUCCCCCUCUUGCCUGAUCAUGUCCCUCUGGUCACUGUCCAGCCCAUCAAUGUCAGAAUAACGGCUGGCUUGAUGUUUUGAGAUGGCAUUAUGGUGGUGAAACAUACCAGUGAGACAAGAAUACACAAAGCCUGCCUUCAAACAAUCUCUUAUCUUCGUAAGAUUCUGUAAUUGUUGCUUGGGCUACUAUAGCAAAAUACUAUCAACUGAGUGGCUUAAACAACAGACACUUAUUUCUCACCUACCGGAGGCUGGGAAGUCCAAAAUCAAGGUGCCAGGCUAUUUGGUUCCUGGUGAGAGCUCUCUUCCUGGCUUGUAGGUAGCUGUCUUUUUUCUGGGUCUUCACAU